Molecule: ribosomal RNA, 497 nt
Filed under: uncultured bacterium
Lineage: Bacteria
Description: partial 16S ribosomal RNA
Rfam family: Bacterial small subunit ribosomal RNA
Source: RNAcentral
GAUGAACGCUGGCGGCGUGCCUAAUACAUGCAAGUCGAGCGAACAGACGAGGAGCUUGCUCCUCUGAUGUUAGCGGCGGACGGGUUAGUAACACGUGGAUAACCUACCUAUAAGACUGGGAUAACUUCGGGAAACCGGAGCUAAUACCGGAUAACAUGUUGAACCGCAUGGUUCAACAGUGAAAGACGGUCUUGCUGUCACUUAUAGAUGGAUCCGCGCCGCAUUAGCUAGUUGGUAAGGUAACGGCUUACCAAGGCAACGAUGCGUAGCCGACCUGAGAGGGUGAUCGGCCACACUGGAACUGAGACACGGUCCAGACUCCUACGGGAGGCAGCAGUAGGGAAUCUUCCGCAAUGGGCGAAAGCCUGACGGAGCAACGCCGCGUGAGUGAAGAAGGUCUUCGGAUCGUAAAACUCUGUUAUUAGGGAAGAACAAAUGUGUAAGUAACUAUGCACGUCUUGACGGUACCUAAUCAGAAAGCCACGGCUAACUACGUG